UGGACAACAAAUGCUCAGUAGAGUAUUGUAGUUUGGCCAGAAAGGAGCCCAUCAAAAGUAACAUUUUGCAAAUAAUUUUUUUGAAAAAUUUCAGUAUAUUUUGAAGAAAAUUAUUGAAUUUCUUGUUGGCAUCAUUCAAAAUGAAUAAUUUAAAAAUCGGUUCGAUAUGGGCUUUAAUCCUGUUCGCGAUUUUUGGCACCUAUUUCGCGCAGCAAGCCGAACCCCGCUGGCAAAAUGGGAUUGACUACACCUGCAACCCAAACGACCUUAGACGAUUUGGAUAUUUUGAUGGGUGCAAUUGGACGAACUGUUACUGCGAUCGGAGGGGAACUCGGACAUGCGAAAGGACUUUGAGAUCUUGUGCGCAACCAGAUUUCACGACUAGUGCUGGACUUCGGGGUUACGCGAGAAGAACGUGUUGCACCAGGUCGGCGAGAGGGGGGAAAUGAGAUUAAAUGCGAAACAAUUCACUGUGUAAAGUCAACUAAUAAUUUAGUGAGAAUUAAAAGCAACGAACAUUUAUAUUUACGUCGUUUUUCGAUAGAAUAUCUAGUUUAUGAGUUAUAACUUAUUUAAUACAGUUGAACAAGUAUAUACAAUUAUGGAAUAAAAUAUUAAGACUAAAAUUAUGAGAGCUUCAUAUUUUAUUUCUAAGUUCUUGGAAUUUGUGGAGGAAACAUAAUUUUAAAGUUUUAUGUGACUUAAUACUGAAAUGAAAUACAUACGUAGUUAAUCUUCAAUUUAAAAUGUUUUAUAUACGUCGCAGAAUUGAAAAAGGAGAAUAAGAAUUAUAUAUUUGUCUGGA
Folsomia candida is the source of this 805-nucleotide long non-coding RNA. RefSeq lists it as uncharacterized. The record is from RefSeq and is a predicted model, not a curated record. The transcript is spliced from 2 exons. Lineage: Eukaryota; Metazoa; Arthropoda; Collembola; Entomobryomorpha; Isotomidae.